GAGACAUAUCACAGUGUCAUCCUUGUGGCAUGGUCCUUGUGAAAGAGCUCCAUCUCCUGUUUGCCCGGCCUAGCAAUAUGUCACUAUCAAGGGGCACACCUGCAGAAACUGGUUGUUUUACCAAGGACUUGAUUGAAAGGGUUUGCUUCCCUUUAAGGAGUCAAGCUCAACUUGCAGAGCCAAUAAAAGCCCCUUGGAAAAACAGGACUCAUACCUCAUCUAUACAGUCAUAGUGCAGGUUUAUCUGUGGAAAGUAAAGAAUGACACUUUCUGACAGCCCCAGGGACUCCAACUUUAUCUUGGGACCAUAAGAGGAGAGAAUCACCCAACUCAUAAGU
This 338-nucleotide long non-coding RNA is filed under the name Homo sapiens (human). RNAcentral describes it as "non-protein coding lnc-TSPY4-4:2". The record is from RNAcentral. Lineage: Eukaryota; Metazoa; Chordata; Mammalia; Primates; Hominidae.